Non-coding RNA from Coturnix japonica (Japanese quail), 362 nucleotides. The record is from RefSeq and is a predicted model, not a curated record. Lineage: Eukaryota; Metazoa; Chordata; Aves; Galliformes; Phasianidae.
GUCACAUCGCUAAUCCACGUUAUGUCUGCUCGUGUGUAACCUUAUCAAGCAGCACUGUCAGUCACGAGUGAAAAAACGCGGCCUUUUCUGCUUGUCUUUGAUUCAGGAGAAAGUCACCACGCUGCCGCUCACUACAAGAUCACUUUGCAGCUUCAGGUGCAGCUGAGUUAUCGUCAGGAUCAAAGCACAAGGUCAUUUUAAGGAGAUUCUUACUGAAAUCUUGUGAGAUUAUCUCAGAAUGGUGCCUGUUCCCACUAGUGAAGGAGCUUUGCUAUCAGCUCCAAGGUCAGCAACUCCCUUCAUCUCUGUGCCUCCUCCACUGAAGGAAAACAGGACCCAGAACCUGUUGGAUAUGUACGUUA